Molecule: ribosomal RNA, 253 nt
Filed under: uncultured bacterium
Lineage: Bacteria
Description: partial 16S ribosomal RNA
Rfam family: Bacterial small subunit ribosomal RNA
Source: RNAcentral
UACGUAGGGUGCGAGCGUUGUCCGGAAUUACUGGGCGUAAAGAGCUCGUAGGCGGCUUGUCGCGUUGUCCGUGAAAAUUUACCGCUCAACGGUGAACUUGCGGGCGAUACGGGCAGGCUAGAGUACUGCAGGGGAGACUGGAAUUCCUGGUGUAGCGGUGAAAUGCGCAGAUAUCAGGAGGAACACCGAUGGCGAAGGCAGGUCUCUGGGCCACUACUGACGCUGAGAAGCGAAAGCAUGGGGAGCGAACAGG